Molecule: ribosomal RNA, 253 nt
Filed under: uncultured prokaryote
Description: partial 16S ribosomal RNA
Rfam family: Bacterial small subunit ribosomal RNA
Source: RNAcentral
UACGAAGGGUGCAAGCGUUACUCGGAAUUACUGGGCGUAAAGCGUGCGUAGGUGGUUUGUUAAGUCUGAUGUGAAAUCCCCGGGCUCAACCUGGGAAUGGCAUUGGAUACUGGCAGGCUAGAGUGCGGUAGAGGGUGGUGGAAUUCCCGGUGUAGCAGUGAAAUGCGUAGAGAUCGGGAGGAACAUCUGUGGCGAAGGCGGCCACCUGGACCAGCACUGACACUGAGGCACGAAAGCCAGGGGAGCAAACGGG